AACGCGAAGAACCUUACCUGGGCUUGAACCGCACAGGACCAUCCCUAGAAAUAGGGACUUCCCGCAAGGGACCUGUGUAGAGGUGCUGCAUGGCUGUCGUCAGCUCGUGCCGUGAGGUGUUGGGUUAAGUCCCGCAACGAGCGCAACCCUUACUCGUAGUUGCCACCCGCAAGGGGGAACUCUACGAGGACUGCUCCGGAUAACGGAGAGGAAGGUGGGGAUGAGGUCAAGUCAGCAUGGCCUUUAUGUCCAGGGCUACACACGUGUUACAAUGCGCGCUACAAACCGUCGCUAACCCGCGAGGGGGAGCCAAUCGGAAAAAACCGGUCUCAGUUCGGAUUGCAGGCUGCAACUCGCCUGCAUGAAGCUGGAAUCGCUAGUAAUCACGUAUCAGAACGACGUGGUGAAUACGUUCCCGGGCCUUGUACACACCGGUACUA
Molecule: ribosomal RNA, 440 nt
Filed under: uncultured bacterium
Lineage: Bacteria
Description: bacterial SSU rRNA
Rfam family: Bacterial small subunit ribosomal RNA
Source: RNAcentral